This 221-nucleotide unclassified non-coding RNA is filed under the name uncultured Tomentella. Its description in RNAcentral is "sequence contains ITS2". Lineage: Eukaryota; Fungi; Basidiomycota; Agaricomycetes; Thelephorales; Thelephoraceae. The record is from RNAcentral.
ACACCUCAACUCUUUAUGGUUUUCCAUGAUGAGCUUGGACUUUGGGGGUUUUGCUGGCCUAUGGUCGGCUCCUCUAAAAUAAAUCAGCUUACCGGUGUUUGGUGGGUAUCAUGGGUGUGAUAACUAUCUACGCUUGUGGUUUUUCCACCAGGUAACCUUCGACAGCGGAGGUUCACUGGAGCUCAUAGAUGUCUCUCCUCAGCGAGGACAGCCCUUUGAAU